RNAcentral lists this ribosomal RNA (482 nucleotides) under uncultured bacterium. RNAcentral describes it as "partial 16S ribosomal RNA". It matches the Rfam family "Bacterial small subunit ribosomal RNA", at positions 28 to 507 of the family's 1533-position model. The record is from RNAcentral.
GACGAACGCUGGCGGCGUGCUUAACACAUGCAAGUCGAACGCUAAAGCUCAGCUUGCUGGGUGUAUGAGUGGCGAACGGGUGAGUAACACGUGAGUAACCUGCCCUCUUCUUUGGGAUAACGCCCGGAAACGGGUGCUAAUACUGGAUAUUCACUGAUUCUCGCAUGUGGGUUGGGGGAAAGGUUGUUUCUGGUGGGGGAUGGGCUCGCGGCCUAUCAGCUUGUUGGUGGGGUGAUGGCCUACCAAGGCUUUGACGGGUAGCCGGCCUGAGAGGGUGACCGGGAAAAUUGGGAACGAGAUACGGCCCAGACUCCUACGGGAGGGAGCAGUGGGGAAUAUUGCACAAUGGGCGAAAGCAUGAUGACGCGACGCCGCGUGAGGGAUGGAGGCUUUCGGGUUGUAAACCUCUUUCACUAAUGGUAAAGCCGCAGCUUUGGGUUGUGGUGAGGGUAGUGGGUAAAGAAGCGCCGGCUAACUACGUG